UACGGGGGGGGCAAGCGUUGUUCGGAAUUACUGGGCGUAAAGGGCUCGUAGGCGGCCAACUAAGUCGGAUGUGAAAUCCCCAGGCUUAACCUGGGAACUGCAUCCGAUACUGGAUGGCUUGAAUCCGGGAGAGGGGUGCGGAAUUCCAGGUGUAGCGGUGAAAUGCGUAGAUAUCUGGAGGAACACCGGUGGCGAAGGCGGCCCACUGGAUCGGUACUGACGCUGAGGUGCGAAAGCGUGGGGAGCAAACAGG
RNAcentral lists this ribosomal RNA (253 nucleotides) under uncultured bacterium. Its description in RNAcentral is "partial 16S ribosomal RNA". It matches the Rfam family "Bacterial small subunit ribosomal RNA", at positions 524 to 776 of the family's 1533-position model. The record is from RNAcentral.